Molecule: ribosomal RNA, 1254 nt
Filed under: metagenome
Description: bacterial SSU rRNA
Rfam family: Bacterial small subunit ribosomal RNA
Source: RNAcentral
AGAGUUUGAUCCUGGCUCAGAAUGAACGCUGGCGGCGUGGAUUAGGCAUGCAAGUCGAACGAUCUCUUUCUUCGGAGGGGGAUAGUGGCGAACGGGUGAGUAAUAUGUGAGUAAUUUGCCUUUAGGCUCGGGACAACUCGUCGAAAGAUGAGCUAAUACCGGAUGAGACCACGGUUCUUAGGGACAGUGGUUAAAGAUGGGGAUCUUGAAAAUAGACCUGUCACCUUUAGAUGAGCUCACAGACUAUCAGCUUGUUGGUGGGGUAAAAGCCUACCAAGGCUAUGACGGUUAGCUGGUCUGAGAGGAUGGUCAGCCACACUGGGACUGAGACACUGCCCAGACUCCUACGGGAGGCUGCAGUCGAGAAUCUUUUGCAAUGCCCGAAAGGGUGACAAUGCGACGCCGCGUGAGCGAUGAAGGUCUUCGGAUCGUAAAGCUCUGUCAGUGGGGAUGAAAGUAUAUAGGUUAAUAACCUGUAUAACUGACGGUACCCGCAAAGGAAGCCACGGCUAACUCCGUGCCAGCAGCCGCGGUAAUACGGAGGUGGCACGCGUUAUUCGGAUUUACUGGGUGUAAAGGACAUGUAGGCGUCUUACUAAGUCGGAUGUGAAAUCCCUUGGCUCAACCAAGGAACUGCAUCCGAUACUGGCAAGAUUGAGUAUGGGAGAGGUAAGCGGAAUUCCGGAAGUAAGGGUGAAAUCUGUAGAUAUCCGGAGGAACACCAUUAGCGAAGUGCGGCUUACUGGCCCAAUACUGACGCUGAAAUGUGAAAGCUAGGGGAGCGAACAGGAUUAGAUACCCUGGUAGUCCUAGCCGUAAACGAUGAUCACUAGGUGCUGGCCCGCGAGGGGCAGUGUCGUAGCUAACGCGUUAAGUGAUCCACCUGGGGACUACGGUCGCAAGGCUAAAACUCAAAGGAAUUGACGGGGACCCGCACAAGCGGUGGAGCAUGUGGUUUAAUUCGAUGCUACGCGAGGAACCUUACCUGGGCUUGACAUGAUAGUAGUAGGAAUCCGAAAGGGCUACGACCUGUAUAAGUCAGGAGCUAUCACAGAUGCUGCAUGGCUGUCGUCAGCUCGUGUCGUGAGAUGUUGGGUUAAGUCCCGCAACGAGCGCAACCAUUGUCCUAUGUUGCCACUCCGGUUCGCCGGAAGCACUCUUAGGAGACUGCCAGUGUUCAACUGGAGGAAGGAGGAGAUGACGUCAAGUCAGUAUGGCUCUUACGCCCAGGGCUACACACGUGCUACAAUGGUC